GAGUUUGAUCCUGGCUCAGAACGAACGCUGGCGGCGUGCUUAAUACAUGCAAGUCGAACGAGAAAGUCUGACUUCGGUUGGGCGAGUAAAGUGGCGAACGGGUGAGGAACACGUGGAUAAUCUGCCCUUAAAUCUGGGAUAAUCCUUCGAAAGGAGGCCUAAUACCGGAUGACACCGCGCGAUGGCAUCAUUGUGCGUUCAAAGGCGGGGCAACCUGCCGUUUAGGGAUGAGUCCGCGUUCCAUUAGCUAGUUGGUGGGGUAAAAGCUCACCAAGGCUACGAUGGAUAGCCGGCCUGAGAGGGUGACCGGCCACACUGGGACUGAGAUACGGCCCAGACUCCUACGGGAGGCAGCAGUAGGGAAUAUUGCGCAAUGGACGAAAGUCUGACGCAGCAACGCCGCGUGGGUGAUGAAGCAUUUCGGUGUGUAAAACCCUGUCAGUGGGAAAGAAACGUACGGGUAGUAACUGACUCGUGCCUGACGGUACCCACAGAGGAAGUCCCGGCUAACUCCGUGCCAGCAGCCGCGGUAAUACGGGGGGGACAAGCGUUGUUCGGAUUUACUGGGCGUAAAGGGCGCGUAGGCGGACCGUCAAGUCGGAUGUGAAAACUGGCAGCUUAACUGCCAGCCUGCAUUUGAUACUGUCGGCCUUGAGUACAGGAGAGGAGAGUGGAAUUCCAGGUGUAGCGGUGAAAUGCGUAGAUAUCUGGAAGAACACCAGUAGCGAAGGCGGCUCUCUGGACUGAUACUGACGCUCAAGCGCGAAGGC
Molecule: ribosomal RNA, 770 nt
Filed under: uncultured bacterium
Lineage: Bacteria
Description: bacterial SSU rRNA
Rfam family: Bacterial small subunit ribosomal RNA
Source: RNAcentral